This 4296-nucleotide long non-coding RNA is filed under the name Marmota monax (woodchuck). Lineage: Eukaryota; Metazoa; Chordata; Mammalia; Rodentia; Sciuridae. The record is from RNAcentral.
GCCUGCCCUGCCGUGUUGGGUUCCGUGUCCUGAGCCAGACCCGGAUGAGCCAGUGAGAAUUCGGGUUACCGAACACAAACAGGAACAGCACUCCUGCACCCCAGAACCCGACAGGAUCACAGCCUUGCUCUGACCGAGGCCGACUCCGGGGUUCACACAGCACUCGGCUCACAGCUAGGUCCACACUUGGGCUGAUUGCGGUUGGAAAACCACUGACGCUGUUGGUCCCAACUUCCACUCAGGUCUGCCCACCAGCCGUUCCUCUUGCAGGGCAGGAAGCCGAGGUCCAGGUCGUCGGAGGGUCCACACCGGCAGGUUCAGAGCAGCAGUGUCGCGUGGAGCCGGCUUCUGCAGCGGGCGGGGCCACAGGGCACCCUGGCCACCGAAGGGUGACAGGUCAGUGCACCUUGGCUCACAGGCCUCAGGCCUGCUAUGGCUGCCUGACAGGUUCUACGGGCUGCAGGCCAUGCUGGCCACCAGGGCUCCAGCCCACACCUCCAGGCUGACCGGUAGGUCUGCAGAGACAGCAGUGGGGGAGCUGUCAGCUCCUCCUCCUCCUCCUCCUCCUCCUUCUCUCUCCCUCUCCCCCCUCUCUCUCCCCCGUCCCUCCCCUUCCCCCCUCUCUCUCCCUCCCUCUCUCUCUCCCCCCAUCUCUCUCUCCCUCCCCCUACCCUCUCUCUCCCUCUCUCUCUCUCUCUCACUCUUUCUACUCUUGCAAGUGUCCCUUUGUAGGUGGCACUGCCCUCUGGCUGCAUCACACCAGGAGACCCAGUGUCUUCUUGUCUGGCCCAGGAAGCUGCGAGGGCAGGGGUGCUGCCCUCCCUGGACGACCUCUCCCUCUCACCCUAGGCCUUGGCUGCUCCAUUUCUGUGCUCCCUCGGAGGCCACAGCCCUAGCCACCAGGGGUAGCUGUCCAGCCCUUCCUGCUCCAGCCCGUGUCCCUGUGGCUUCAGCGGUUCAUCUCGUGGCCAGUGGAAGCUGUGCACGCUGACCUUCUGCUCUCCUGUUGCUCCUCAGCCCACUUUUGUGGUUUCAGAUCUCAAAUCUGCAGAACUGCCUUGAAAGCCCACCAGCAUCGGAGCCCGGAUGUUUCCGGGCCGGCCCAGCAGUGACGGGCAGCGCUGUCCAGUCCUGCAGCUCGCUCCUCACCAGCUCCUUCAAGCUGGGCGCUGGGCCUGUAAAGGUGUUUUCUGUAUUGAUGUCAGACCUGCUUUCUGAGAAUUUUUACCCAGUGAGCACUUACCUGGCCUUUGACCCGAGGAGUGGCACUGAUGGCAGUUUGUGCUCAGGCAUAUUCAAGCACUUAAAUGUCUUCUUUCUGUCUUUCUUUUUCUUUCUUUCUUUUUUACUUUCAAUUGCUUUGAGAUACAGAUGCGCGCGUGCCCCCCCCCCACACACACACACACGCGCGCGCGCGCACACACGUGUGUGUGUGUGUGUGUGUGUUGAACCAGUUUUGAGUUCAGUAGCACUAACUGUAUUCACAUUGUCGUGUAAUAGACCUUUAGCCAAGUGUGGUGGUGCACACCUGUAGUCAAGCUAUUCGGGGGCUGUGGCAGGAGGAUCAGUUGAGCCCAUGUACUCAGGACCAGUCUGGGCAACAAAGUUGAGGCCCUGUCUCAAAAAAAAAAGCAGAUCUCUAGAAGUUUUCAUCUUGCAAAAUUGCAACUCUAAACCUACCAAACAAUCCCCUCUCCCCCGACCCCCAGCACUGGCAACCACCAUCCUACUUCCUGUUUCAUAAUUUGACUGCUCUAAAUAUAAGCCAGCUGGGUGUGGCAGCACAUGCCUGUAGUUCCUGCACUCAGGAGGCUGAGGCAGGAGGAUCUCAAGUUCAAGGCCAGCCUCAGCCACUUAGAGAGACCCUCAGAAACUUAGAUAUUUUAGUUUUUAUCUAGUUGUUAUUUUAGAAAAAUAAAAAGGGCUGAGGAUGUAGCUCAGUGGUAAAGCAUCUGAGGAUUGGAUCCUCAGUACCAAAAUAACUAGAUAAAUAAAUAUUAGCGGAAUCAUAUGGUCCUUGGUGACAAGCCCAUUUCACUCAGCAUAAGGCUCAUUCAUGUUGUAGCCCAUGAUAAGAUUUCCUUCUGUUUCAAGGUGACAUAAUAUUCCUCUGUAUGAAUGUAACACAUUUUCUGUGCCCAUUUAUAUGUAAAUGGUAUUUGCUUCUGUGUCUUGGCUGUUGUGAAUAAUGCUGAAAUGAACCUAGGUUUGCAAGUAAUUUUUGAGAGUCUGCUUUCAAUUCUUUUGGCUGUAUACCCAAAAGUGGGAUUAGGACUCACAUGGUAACUCCAGUUUUAGAUUCCUGAAGACCUCCACAUUGUUUUCCACAGGGACCGCAUGGGUUUAUAGCUCUACCAGCCGUGCACAGAGGUUCCAGUUUCCCACAGCCUCGCCAACACUAUUACUUUCUGGUUUUUAAUCACCUAGUUUUAACAGAGUCAUUCUAAGUGGAUGUGUGGCUUUGGUUUUCAUCUCCAGAGAAGGUGACAUCGAGCAUCGUUUCGUAUACUGUGGACCCUCUGUGCAUCUUCUUUGAGUAAUUGUCUGUGUGGGUCCCUUCCUGUUCUGUUUCACUGAGGGGGACCUUUCUGUGUCCUGGGUGUGAAGCUCGCAGCAGAGACGCAUAGACUCGGGCUUCCCGCUGCCUGCGCCACCUCUUAGCUCUGUCCUUUGCUUCAUGGUGCAGGGUUUUCAGUUUGAUGUGACCCCUUUGUCCACUUCUGCUUUUGUCACGUGGGCUUUUGGUCUCAUAGUCAAGGCAUCAUUGUCACUUCAAUGCCUUGAAGAUUUUCCCAUUUUCUUUUGAGAAGCUUAGGUCUUUGAUUCAUUGUGAAUUAAUUUUUUUUAUUUGAUGUAAGGUAAGGGUCCAACUUCAUUCUUGUUUUUAUUCGUGCUUUCUAGUUAAUACAUAGAUCUAUAACGACGUGAUCCUACAGGGAGGGAAUAUAAUUUGUCCAUUCCAGUCCCUAUAUGUGGAUAUCUAGUUUUCCUGUUCCAAUUUUGAAGACUUUUUUUUUUGGUGUGGGAUCUUGCUGAAGAUCAUUUGGCCAGACACAUGAUUUCUAGACUCUAUUCUGUGUGUCUGUCUUCAUGACAGUAAGUAAUCACAUCAGCUCAGCUGGGGGUGGAACUCAGUAGUAGAACAUUUGCCUAGCUUGUGUGAUGCCCUCGUUUUGAUCCCUAGCUCCAAAAAGAAGAAGGAAAAGGAAGAGGAAGAGGAGGAGGAGGAGAAAAGAAAGGAAGGAAGAAAUGCCAGCCUGUUGACCUAGGAUGACCUAGAAGAUCAUCUUAUGGGUUUUCCAGACGCGGCUUCAUGGAGACGUGGGGUACAGGGUCUUGUAGGCUGCGUUCUCUCAAACUCGGGUUUCAAGAGACGUGAGUAUUGUGUGCUACUCGGAAGCAUUUCCAAUGUGGGUGACGAAGGUGAGCCAUUUGCCUGGUGGUCCUCAAAGCCAACCCUGUGUUCAACACGAGUGAGCUCAGCGGAGCAGCUGCUAUAACAAACAGGACUUUCUCCUUGGGUCUGUUGAAGAAGAAGGAGGACUUGGAAGGACUGUUCACCUCUAGGCUCUUGGUGGCUUUAGAGACUCCGGACCUCCAAGUGUAGAGGUCUUUCUCUCUGGACCAAAGGGGAGGCAGUAGAAGGACGAACAACCAGGAGAGAGAGAGUUGUGCCCUGGCAAGUCCCAGGGCCAUGCAGAAGGGGUCCUUCGGCAGGCGGGGGGUGGAGCUGCGACUGAGGUGAGGAGAGCCAGAGGCACCACCUGGAGCAGGACCCCGCUGCCUUCGGGAGCUGUGCUGACUUGGGGUGAAAAGAGGGAGAGAAGCUUCCCUCAUUCAUUAACCGACCGUUUCCUGCGGGUGAGGAGGAGGGAAGAAGAGCUGCCCGCAUGUCCCUGCCACCUGAGCUAGAAAAGUGCACUUGAGGGAGCUGGGACAAGGCACACCGCGCAUGACCUAGGGAGGGAUGCCUCUUCAGCAUUCGGGUCUCUGCCCAGCAAUGACCCUGAGCCAAGAUGGCCAUCCUUCCUAGAACUCCCUCCCCACUGUGCUUUCUCAACACCCACUUCCUUCUUACCAACCCCAGUUCUCCUUCUGGUUGGGGCCUUACUGUAAGAACGCCUUUGAGAGAAAGCACCAGACAAAGAGCCAACCAAGACACAGCCAGAGAGAGCGCGUGAGCCCUCAAACACAGCUGCAGAAUUAAAACACAACAGAGGAACAGAGUGUUCCAGCUGAUGAACUUCCUGUUGAUGGUCUCUGGGGAGCAGGGGAGAGCUGGAGUCCUAGAAUUGG